CGUUACGGCUGCCAUGGUGAGCAUCGGCUUCUGCCGCAGCCGCCGUCCUCCUCCUUGCAGCUUCCUUCAUCGCAGCUCCCUCCUCUAGCCCUGCAGCUUCGUGGGUGAGCGGAACGGCGUUGGCGGUAAACAGUUUUCGUCUGGCGACAUCUGGUCCGUGUGCCGGCUGCCGUGAAGGUCUUCAAAGCUCGUCCGGAAGCCUGCUUCAAAAGGGACUGGUUAAGAAGGCACUGGAGUUCUCCGUGUUCUGCGAAGCUUUUGUUCCUCCCAUCGUCUUCUCAACCAACCGACAGCUUUGAGAUUUUCACCAACUGCAGGUAUUUGGCAGUUAGGUGGUAUUGCAGACUUGAAAGCUAGAGAUUAAAUUGUGACGCCGAGCUUGCAAGGUUGCUUAUCCUCUUCCACAACGUGUUUGGUCUGCUGCUUUGGCGGAUCUGAAACACACUCCCCCCUCAAAUAGCUUCAGUUUCACUUUCAUGAUUUCACAGAGUAGAAUACUAAUAAUGCUGACCCACAGGUGAUCCUAAUGCAGCCCAGCAAAUUACCUUUAUAUCUUCACUUAGAAUGUGAUGUAAAGGUUCGGUCAAAGACUAAAUAAUUGGAUCUCCAAUGAGUAAAAAGAUAAAAGACAAGAAGGAGAGCAGUAGUAGGGGCAUGGUGGUCAACACGGGCAAAAUGUGAUGGCUGAUAAACUUGCAGUAAAUAGUUUGGCAGAAGGCUUGUGCCUGGGAAGGCGAGUAAGCUGUUUCUCGGUGGCAAGGGAGACUCACUGGUCAUUGGGAUGCACAUUGCCUAGUUGACGCAAUCCAUUGAUAGUUGAAACCUGUGAAGAAGUCCAUGGACCAGGUGACUGAUUGUAGGGCGGCCUGUGAAUGGAAGGUAAUUGAAACUCACGCUGCGGCACAUUUAUGAGGUCUGAUUAUGAUGAUGGAAGAUGAAUUGGCUGCUGAACCAGUGUAUCCUACAGUUGUAAAUAACAAAAGCAUUCAUUAGCAUGUCCAGCGAGUUGAAAACAUGUUGCUUUGUCUGACUCAAAGUGAUGGUUGGUAAAGAUUUGCUUUCUAUUACCAGCUGUCUGCUGCUAAUAUGGAUGGAACGAAAGAUAGGAAAGACCAUGGGUUUUUGUCCUUGCUGUGCUCAGACUUUUUAGCUCCACCAUGUAAAAUGGUACAAAACAUAGAUCGUGGGAUUUAUCUUUUCCGUCCUUGCUGCGGUCAUUUAUUUGCCUCCACUAGGAAAAUGGAUAUGAAUAUCCAAGUAGAUGGAACAUGAGACCGGGCAAUGAUUAUAUAUGCUUAUGCCCAGACGUGCUUUGAUGUUGAAGUGGCCACAAGUGUUGAUGACUUGGCCAAAAUUUAUUGAUGCUCCAGUUGCAGGUCCACUUGUGUCAAGGACGAAGAAUGAAUCCGAUCUUUGGUUGGUGCAUGGGUUCCACUGACAUAAGAUGAAUAAGAUACAAAUAUCCAAGUAGAUAGAACAUGAAACCGAGCAAGGAUUAGAUAUGCUCAUGCCAAGACGUGCUUAAAUGUUGAAGUGGCCACGAGCGCUGACGGCUAGCUAAACUUUAUUGAUGUAAGAAAAAAAAAGUAACUUUUUGGAAUGGGUCGUUCAUUGCUCUUUGAAGCUUCACAUGUGGACAAUGGUCAUGAACUAGAUGAAGGUACCAUGGAAAAAGAUGAGGUUCUCAG
Long non-coding RNA from Nymphaea colorata (pocket water lily), 1688 nucleotides. RefSeq lists it as uncharacterized. NCBI's taxonomy places the organism in Eukaryota, Viridiplantae, Streptophyta, Magnoliopsida, Nymphaeales, Nymphaeaceae. The transcript has 7 exons. The record is from RefSeq and is a predicted model, not a curated record.